This is an RNA transcript of Neopsephotus bourkii (Bourke's parrot), 2985 nucleotides long. It is a transcript of the gene named Myb/SANT DNA binding domain containing 4 with coiled-coils, with no coding region annotated. NCBI's taxonomy places the organism in Eukaryota, Metazoa, Chordata, Aves, Psittaciformes, Psittacidae. The transcript has 3 exons. The record is from RefSeq and is a predicted model, not a curated record.
CCAUGGAUAUGGUGUCUUAUUUAAAAUGUAUCUCAGAAAUUUCAGUCCUCAUAACAUUUCAUGUUUCUGAAAUACUAAUACAACAGUUUCAGCUUAUUUUGGAAAUCAUUUAGCAUUCAAACUGAAAUGUGUGUGUCAAAUUUGAGCAUUAAGCUAAUCCUGACUGGCAAAACUGUAAGAGUUGAAGGAAUAGCUGUACUUUUGUAAUGGAAAUACCAGCUCACCCUUAAGGGUUUGGUACAUGGAUAUAUUAAUGGAUUUAUAAUUCAUCAGAGGUUACAGAAGGUAUCUGUAGCUACUUUAUAUCCACAAUUUAACAAAAUGGUUUGCUUCUGUUGAAUGAAUGAUCUGUUUGAAAUAAGCAUGUUUUAAAUGGGGACUUAGGGGUCAAGUUCAUUAAAUGAAGAUAUACAGUGUACACUUUGCAGAUUUAUAUUGUUUGCUCUUUUUCUCUUAGGAAGCCUGACAAAUAGGAAAAUACUACAAAGUGAAGAGAAAAUUCACGAGAACUGAGCUCUGCUUUCAGUGGCUUUUAAAUUUUAUUUAUAUUAAUAACUGAUUAGUGUCAGAUCAUCUCUGUAGUCUACUGUGGUGAAAUUAUUAGGUUAAAGCUGGAAAAAAUGAAACAAUUAAAAAGAAAAAGGAAAAGCAAUUUUAGCGUUCAGGAAACUCAAACACUCCUUAAGGAAAUCAGGAAAAGGAGAGAAGUACUCUUUUCAAAGCAACUUAAUACAACAAUUAAUGAGUUGAAACGAAAAGCUUGGGAGGAUAUAGCAGAGUGUGUAAAUGCUGUAGGUGAAGGAGAACAAAGAACAGGGACAGAAGUGAAAAGGAGAUACCUUGACUGGAGAGCACUUAUGAAGAGAAAACGUCUGAAUGCAAACAUCAAAGUAGUAGGUGCUGGGUUUCACCUUCCUUCAUCCAAUUUAGAUGACUCUCUCAAUGAAGACAUGGAUGAGAAAAUGGGAUUUGCAAUUGAAUCUAGUUUUGAAUGGCAAAAUAUCACUGACUUCAGAGAAGCCGGUGGAUCUUUAACAGAAAUCAAAGUAGAAGAGGAAGAGGAGGAUCCACAGAAUUUUGAAUUUCCUAUUGAGGAAGAAGAAGAAAUUUUGUCAUCAGUUUUGCCAGAUUCAAAAAAGGAAAAUGACCUACCAGAAUUCCCCCAGAUUGAAGAGUUUGGAAGUAUAAACUCUGUUCAAGCUAGGCUAGCCUAUGAAGAUUCUCACUUGCUUAUAAAUCUGGAGAAGCAGAAGGUGGAGCUGGAGAAGCAGCGACUAGAUAUUGAAGCGGAAAGGUUGCAAGUGGAGAAGGAGCGCCUGCAAAUAGAAAAAGAGCGGUUGCGGCAUGUUGAUGUGGAGCGUGAGAGACUUCAGAUUGAGAAGGAGCGGCUUCAGAUCGAAUGGGAGAAGCUGAGGCUAGAGAGACUGAAUGCUGAAAAACCUGCCCUGGAAAAUGACCUCACCCAAACUGAAAAACCCAUCAUGCAGCCACUGGAUCUAGAAACUGAGAAGUUAAAACUUGAAAAAGAACGUUUGCAGUUAGAGAAAGAGAGGCUGCAGUUCCUAAAGUUUGAGUCAGAGAAGCUGCAGAUCGAGAAGGAACGCUUGCAAGUGGAGAAGGAGCGCCUUCGAAUUCAGAGAGAGGGUCACUUGCAGUGAACUUCUCAAUGGAAGUGUCAACGUUAGCGUUUUGAUGUUUGUAAAAUAGAGGUAGUUUUUUUCUUAAUACUGAGAUUGUCCUAGAGGCGAAACAUUCUUUUGUUCAGAGUUGAAUGUUAAUGUUAAAAUGAAAAAGAAAGGAAAAGGAGAAAAAAAAGGCAAGGAAAAAGAUGGUGCUCAGUAUGUCUGUGUGCCUACAUAAAUGAGCUUAUGUGUGAAGUUGCUUUUCAGUGUAUCAGAAUAAGUGUUAUAUUCUCUUGUCUUCAGUAUUGUAUUGUAUUAGUUUGGUGUCCUCCAUCCUCCUCUCAUAGGUGUAUUGAGAAGAAGCAAGGCUGAACACUGUACUUUUUUCACUGUGCUAACAGUAAGAAAGGAUAAGAACAAAUCAACAUAUGUUGUGAGGACACGGUGCUGAUGAUACACCACACAGUAAGUGCAAGUUAGACACAACAACAGAGUUGUGAUGAGAUUGAUUCAUUAAACUUAAUUUCUCCAUUUUGUUUUUUUUCCACCCUCGCAAUUGGAAAAAGAGUUCAAGAAUUAUGAGCAAGUUAAAGUACAAGAUAAAUUCACUGUUUACUGUUGUUCCAUGGCCUGAACGGGAGUGCAGAAAACAGUGUUCUUCCUUUUGCAUGAAGUACUCAUACUAGAUAAAGUUACAUAUCAACCAUACCUACUGCAAGCUGGACUGUUGGUUGUACCAGGCUGGAACACGGCACCUGGGUUUGCAUAGCAUAGGGACUUACUGACUGAUGAGGCAUGGUGUCUGACGUCUGUGAUGGCCCCCUGGAGUAAAUUGCUAAAUCUGCUUUGUUCUUUGAAAGACAGUACCCAGUGAUGGGAGUCUUGGGAGUGAAGAGACAGAACACUCUUGUUAGUUCUGCCUGGCCAGAACUGAGAUCAUGUCUAUGAGGCAGCCAGAAGAAGCUUCUGUGGCUGACACCAUAUAGUAUGCUUUAAUUAGACAGAUGGUCAGUGCUGAAGGCUGUCAGUAUUUUUUUGUUUUUCAUAAGCAGUGUAGUCAUUGAAUAAUUAAAAAAAUGAAGCUUUCUAUUAUUUCAUACGUGUUUAAAUCCCAGCUGAGCCAGACUUCACAUUUCUUACCUUUCUGUGAGGUGCUAUGUUUUGUUGACUCCAUUUGAAACUUAGGAAUAUGAGAAUACUAAAUCUGAAUAUAUGUUGAGUGACUUACGUGGAUUCUUGUGCAAGUAAAUAUAUUUAUACCACUACAGGAUUACUUUUAUUCUGCAAAGAAAAUGUUAUUUUUUUAUUCCUGAAACAAGUGUGCUUCUACAGUGCAAAUAAAUUUGACUGCUACAAUCCAAAA